This is a long non-coding RNA of Xiphias gladius (swordfish), 1034 nucleotides long. RefSeq lists it as uncharacterized. The record is from RefSeq and is a predicted model, not a curated record. The transcript has 4 exons. Lineage: Eukaryota; Metazoa; Chordata; Actinopteri; Istiophoriformes; Xiphiidae.
CGGUGGCUCCUGAGAAAACUAGCUCAUUAGCAGCUAGAUGUUCCUCUGCGUUUGCCAGCUAGUCUCUCACCUCGGCCGUCUGCUCUUUGGUGGAGGACAGGUGGGGAUGUCGGAGGUUGCUGACUGAAACUGGCCAGUGGACACGGAGUGUAACUGUAAACAGGGCAUUGGGAGCAGUCAGCCUUGCCCGGUGAGAACGGACAUAAAGGUCAGAAAGGAUAUAAAGAGGGCCUGGCUUCCUGAACCAUGGGAAAUAAGAGCAAUCUAACUGGGGUCAAAGGGAUACAGGCACUGCAGCCGGACGCCUAUCUAUGAUUGAGAUUUCACAAUCAGUGCUCCAUAAUGCCGAGGUUUCCACGGCGACCGGGCUGCAGCGCUGCCUCGUCUUUGCUGAAGCGCAGAGAUCACAGGUCAAGGCUUAGGCAGGUGUCAUUUUCGAUGGAGAAACCCUCUGGCAGAUGUAAUAUCAAAGUAGUGGCUGGAGUUCCUUUUGAAAUGCCGCCGCCCCUCUGAGCAGAAGGGACCAAUCGAUGGUAUUGAUCCACACGGCCAUCAGCAGUAAGGAGGAGAUCCCGCGGUCGUAUGGGGAAGUAUCGCGGACCUCCCCAUUUCGUGUGUGUGCUGAGCAGACUCCAAGACGCUGACGCUCAAUGGCACUUUGAUGGCCGGGGCUGCACAGAUGUUCAGACCUAAUCAAGAUAAAUGGGAGCCUCCUGCCGCAUGCUGAAAAGUCAAUAUGGGGGGGGGGGUCCGACUGUGGCACCUGGAGAAAAACUCCCCCGUUGAGCUCUGAGGCCUCGCAGACUUUAGAUUGCUCCGAGGAAACAGCGAGGAAGAGACUCACAACAGGCGGCAGUUGGCAAGUUUCCUCCUACUCGGCUCCGAUUCGGCAAUUUCAGCUCCAAGCGCCGAAUCUCCCAAGAUUUAGAAAAAUAAUGGGGGACAUCAUUCACCCAUGUAUGCUCACUGUCACUGCUACUUAGGAGUAACAAUGUGCAACAUCCGGUGUAUCACAACUGUUUUUUUGCAAACUU